Cucumis sativus (cucumber) is the source of this 1308-nucleotide long non-coding RNA. RefSeq lists it as uncharacterized. The transcript has 2 exons. Lineage: Eukaryota; Viridiplantae; Streptophyta; Magnoliopsida; Cucurbitales; Cucurbitaceae. The record is from RefSeq and is a predicted model, not a curated record.
UUUCUCAACCCUUGCAGUUGCCCCCAUACACCCCCCUCUCAACACAAAUACGCACACACCCUAUCUCCUGCCCGUAGCUUCUCUUUUUGGCCGCCAUCUUCUUUAGCUCCGUUCACCUCUAUAACCCUUCUCUGACUUACCCAUCUCCGUCGCCCUUGUGUUAAAAUGGAAGUUGAAAGCUGUAAAAUUAAUGAUUCCUUCUUUUGGAUCUGGUACGAUUCCAGGUUGUUCUUCAUGGGAAGGUAUAGAGUUUUGUAAAGUUGUUACUUUAUCUAGUUUGCAGUUGCAUUGGUUCAUGGAUUCUAUCUCAGAGCUUCUUCAUGGUCCAUUCAAUCGUCUUCUCUUAAGAAACAGUCGCAACGGCUCAGGAGGUCGAUGAUACAUUCAUGUUCCAAUGGGAGUUUCAAUUCAAGGCUGGCAUUCUUUUUUGGGAGUGGUAUCUGGAUUCUUGAAGAAAAGAGAGAUAUUAUUUCAGCAGAUCCAUCUACAUUCCUCAUUGAUUCCUUUGCAGGCAAUUAAGAACAUUUCAGGGCCUUCUAAGUCAAGAGAUAAGAGCAUAAGUUAUGUGGAAGCUGUGAAGGAUAUUAGGUAGCCAUAGUCCUCUGUUUUGGUAAUGGAAAAACAGAGCAUGGUAUCCUUUUGGGUUCGAAAAAAUUCUAAAGUGCUCAAGGAAGAUUUUAACAACCUAUGGGUCAUCUCUGUUUUAUAUAUGUUUUUUGAAACAGAGACAAGCUCUUUUUUAAUAUAAAACUCGAAGUACAAGAUAAUUAUACAAUGAGAAAAUUAGAGAAGCCUAAAAAAUCAAGAGGCGCGGCCGGAUAUCUCAACUAGGUUGACACCCCCUUAGCGCUAUCACCAUAUCCCAUAAAAACAUCUAAAAGAACAUAUAACUACCAAUUAUACCAGAAAAGAAACAGCCAAAGGAAAGCAAAUACAAAACAGAAAGUAAAGAAAGAACACGGGAAAAUAAAACAGUUUCAAAAAAGACCCACAACUACUAAACUCCUAUAGCUAACAAAACUAAAUAGGAGGUCUUCUGACUUGCAACCCAAGUUGGCAGCUGUGGACAGCAACUCACUAUCAUCCACUUUAUAACCCCACACAAGAACGAUUUGUUCCAAUUCACUUUCUGACCGGAACAUUAUUUUUUCUUGCAUGUUAGAAUUUUCUUGUAGCAUCGGUUAUUGUAGUGUUUUUCAAUGUUUUGUUUUGAUGUAUUGUUCUGUUUUGUUGCUGGUAGAACUUAAUUCGGUGUUUCUUCCUUGUUAUUUGGGGUACUCUUAGAUGUUUUGUUCUAUUGCUUUCUAG